This 3019-nucleotide long non-coding RNA is filed under the name Capsicum annuum. RNAcentral describes it as "long non-coding RNA (CANN_LNC009716)". The record is from RNAcentral. Lineage: Eukaryota; Viridiplantae; Streptophyta; Magnoliopsida; Solanales; Solanaceae.
GCGGUUAUUCGAACUAUUUGAAACAGCUCUUUUGACUAACUUUAAAAAGGGAAAUUGAUUGUUGAAAAGAAAUUGAUUAAGGAAAAAUUUGUGCGAAAUUAAUUUUGGUCAACUUAGUGGGGAAUUUAACUAGUUCUAAGAAAGUUAAAAUCAAAUAGCACGUAAAGGGGAAAGGGGUGAGCUAGAAGACUUAGGCCCGUAAGCCCAAAUUCAUCAACCCUGUCCUAAUCUAAUUGGGCUUUUGGCCCAUCUACAUCUAUCCUAUUCUAAAUAUUGGAAUUUUGGCCCAUAACCUUUCCUAAACUAUCUUUUUGGACCCUUUGGUCCAAAAUCUGCUUCACCUGUAUUAAUUUACAACUUUGGCUUCGAGGUCCAAAUGAAUGAAUGAAGAAAUAAAUAAAGAAAUAACUAAGAAAAGUAAAAUGUGAGACUUUUCAAGUCUCUUGGCAACUUCAUCAAUGGGUUUUGACCUAGCUUUCUUCUUUUCAUGGUAACUCCUUCUUUGUUCAAAGAUAGCCGACUUGAAGGGAUAGGCCGCAUUGGCCAAUUACGAAAUGUGGAAGGAAGGAGCCAAUUUGGACUUCAAAAAUAGAUUCACAUGCAAAAGAGGAAUGAAAGGAAAUUAACACAUAUAUGGAAUGCAAAGACAGAAGUAAAGAACUUAACCUAUAUUAGAAAGUUGAUACCUUACGGAUAAAUUAUUAAGAAAAUAUUCACACACAUAAAGAAAUUGAAAAAUAUUUUGAUAAGUUCCAAAUUUCCAUAUUAGUCUAUAAUCGCACUGUUUUUCAUUGUGGAAUAACUAAUAAGUUACUAUGAGGAUCCUUUGGCAUACUCAAAUACUACAAAAUAUGUUAUUCCAGGAUUUAGGUAACUAAGGAAAAUAGAACAAUAUAAGAAAAUUCAACAUUCUCUGUAAGUGAAGCAAACUGUUUUGUAUUUCUAAUAUUACAUAAGAACAAGAUUGAAUAGGGUAGGGACAAAGAUGCAAAUAAAUCAAUUCGACAAGAAAAUCAACAUGGACAAAAUCUCAUUAGACUAACACGUAAUUUACAGAGAUUAAACAAUCGUGUUUCACCAAAAGAAGGAAAAACAAGAGGAGAGCACCGCUAACCAAACUCAUAACUAUGUCUCAGAAAGAUAAACAAAUCAAGUGCCACAUUAUUUAGAGGUAGAGUUAAGAAACUUGUUUGACCAAAUUUCAACUAUUUUCAAUCAUGUAUUGUGCAAACAUAACCACAAAAUUUUCACAAAGGGAUAAACCAGGUAAUUCAAUGAAAUACACGAAGCAAAUAAAAUUUGAGAGGCAAACCAACUCAAUGCAUUAAUUCCAGACACAAGAAAAAGAUCAAGGAAGCUGCUCAAUGGUAGAAAACAUAACUUUAUGGAUAUAUAUAAGAUUUUGUAUUAUUGUUAAAAAGAAAAUUAGGAGUAAUUUCAAAGCAUGAUAUUUGUAGACAUUAAGGAUCAAGAUUUUUAACACCUAACCAACCCAAACUAAUGAAUUAAAUAGUAACUUUCAUAUUUUAGUUACAGUAGAAUAAAAUGCAAUUCCAAAGAACUGUAGAAGUGAAGAAGAUUCAGUCUUUGCUUCCAAAUCGGUACCCCAAUAAUAUCUCUUUUGGUUCACCUAUAUCACAAUAUGUUAUAAACUUCUCUUUAAAACAUAUUUCAUUUAGGAAAAAAUUUCAAACUUAGACGUUGAUCAUUACGAGAGACUAAGAGAGACUUGACAUCGUUAAGACAUUCAUACGCUAUUGAAUUUAUCAAAGGAAAUCACAAUUUUAGAGAUGGGGUCGGGGAAAAUACUCAGGUUAGACAUUUUCAAAGAUUGACUUACCAUUUUUGGAGGAUAAAGUCCGCUAUUUUCUUCUGACAUUAUCGGUCAAAGAAAAGACGGUGAAGAGUCCACUUUAUCAAGAAAGUGAAAAAGACGAGCUAGACUAAACAUGUGUAAAACUCAAAAUGCCUUUUGCAAAAUAUCAACCGUGAGGAUAUAGAACUCAUACUAUGCUAGGCUAACUAUUUUGAGUAGCUAAUGCCAACUGAACAUGAACAACACCAUAUCAAGAGAUGUUCGAACAAUUCUGAGUCAAAUAAAGCAGAUUAAAAGCAUACCCCAUGCAAAACUUCAUCAAGGGGAAAUUUUAAAUUAAGUAGUUAAACAGAUUAAGGUCUAAAACUAAACUCAACUAAUUCCACGAUCAACACACUUUGUACAUUUGUAGAGAAGGACGAAGGAAAAAUAAAUUAUUAAAAGCUCUUAUUUUAGCAAAAUACAAAGUAGGAAAAAAAAUAGCUUAAACACGUAGAAAAUAAAUAUUUUCCAGCUAAUAGUAACUUACAGAUAACACAGAAUGAGAUUGAAAUUACAGGAAUAUCGCAACAAGAACAUCAUCGCAACCAAACCUACGACUUUCAAGGCCUCUGCAGCAAAUAAUUCCCAACAUACAAUGCAAUAAUCAAAACUACUACUGCUACAACUACUAGAAUGUGAUAGUGUAAGAAAGAAGAAUCAAAGACUAACCAAUUUUUGGGAAGCAAAAUAAGACCUUGAGCGUCAUAGGAAUCCGCCACCACUAGAAGAAACUUUUUAAACCUCUGAUUAAUUGAAAAAAAAUUGACUAUCAGAUUUCAACUCUUUGCUCAAAUGUGUUUCUUAAUCCCUUCAAGACUUGCCCAUGCAGCUCAUGGAAGGGCUUUAUAUUGAAGGAAUUUGGGGGUUAAGAAAGUGGUUCCAUCCAUGUGGAUUUGAGAUUUUCAGGGGUAAUUUGGGUAACUUUAAUGAAAGAAAAUUCAAGCUCAAGAUAAGGUUUCCAACCAGCAAUUGUACCAAUUUUGGAUUGUUCUUUAAUGAAUAUUAGGAAUAUUGAGAUAAAUGAAUAUUUCUUUGACUAAUCAAAAUUGAGCACAUAUGUACCUUCAUGGUACACUUCUAAUUGUUUGAAUUGAAUUUUUGAGGAAUAUUCCCUUGAAUCUCGACCUGGCUGCCAGCUAGCCACUUUUUAGAAGUUUCACG